This 859-nucleotide ribosomal RNA is filed under the name uncultured bacterium. RNAcentral describes it as "bacterial SSU rRNA". It matches the Rfam family "Bacterial small subunit ribosomal RNA", at positions 23 to 879 of the family's 1533-position model. The record is from RNAcentral.
CUCAGGACGAACGCUGGCGGCGUGCCUAACACAUGCAAGUCUUGGGAGAAAGAGGUAGCAAUAUCUUGAGUAAACCGGCGCAAGGGUGAGUAACACGUAGGUAAUCUGCCUAGAGGACGGGAAUAACUUCGAGAAAUCGAGGCUAAUGCCCGAUGAUAUUCCGAUGCAGCAUUGUAUUGGUAUCAAAAGCCGUAAGGCGCCUUUAGAUGAACCUGCGUCCCAUUAGGUAGUUGGUGAGGUAAUGGCCCACCAAGCCGACGAUGGGUAGCUGGUCUGAGAGGACGAUCAGCCACACUGGAACUGAGACACGGUCCAGACUCCUACGGGAGGCAGCAGUGAGGAAUAUUGCGCAAUGCCCGAAAGGGUGACGCAGCGACGCCGCGUGGAGGAUGAAGGCCCUAUGGGUCGUAAACUCCUUUUGUGAGGGAAUAAUUUCCUGCUACAGGCAGGAUUGAAUGUACCUCAGGAAAAAGCAUCGGCUAACUACGUGCCAGCAGCCGCGGUAAUACGUAGGAUGCUAGCGUUGUCCGGAUUUACUGGGUGUAAAGGGAGCGCAGGCGGGUUGGUAAGUCGGUGGUGAAAUUCUCGGGCUUAACCCGAGUACUGCCAUCGAUACUGCUAAUCUUGAGUGCAGAAGAGGUUGAUGGAAUUCUAGGUGUAGCGGUGAAAUGCGUAGAUAUCUAGAAGAACACCGAUGGCGAAGGCAGUCAACUGGUCUGCUACUGACGCUCAUGCUCGAAAGCGUGGGGAUCAAACAGGAUUAGAUACCCUGGUAGUCCACGCCCUAAACGAUGAAUACUCGAUGUCGGCCCGCAAGGGUCGGUGUCUAAGCUAACGCAUUAAGUAUUCCACCUGGGGA